UGGGAACGUACCCUUUGGUUCGGAACAACCCAGGGAAACUUGGGCUAAUACCGGAUAAGUCCGUAAGGAGAAAGAUUUAUCGCCAUUGGAUGGGCCCGCGUCGGAUUAGCUAGUUGGUGAGGUAACGGCUCACCAAGGCUACGAUCGGUAGCUGGUCUGAGAGGACGACCAGCCACACUGGAACUGAGACACGGUCCAGACUCCUACGGGAGGCAG
RNAcentral lists this ribosomal RNA (216 nucleotides) under uncultured bacterium. RNAcentral describes it as "partial 16S ribosomal RNA". It matches the Rfam family "Bacterial small subunit ribosomal RNA", at positions 118 to 351 of the family's 1533-position model. The record is from RNAcentral.